Parasteatoda tepidariorum (common house spider) is the source of this 345-nucleotide long non-coding RNA. Lineage: Eukaryota; Metazoa; Arthropoda; Arachnida; Araneae; Theridiidae. The record is from RefSeq and is a predicted model, not a curated record.
GUUUUGUUUCUUACAAGAAAGUUGAAUACGCAAUUUUUUUUUCUUAGAAAAUACAUCAUACUUGUUAUGUUCAAUGUUGGUAUAAAGAAAAUGAUGAAAAGGACGAGCUUAUGACACCAGAUGGAACAUUAUGUUGUGAUAUUGGUGGAGCGAUGCCAACAGGGAAAUGCAAGGAAGGAAAAUGUGAUCCUAAGGAAUUAGCGUCAACAAAAUUAUUUUAGAUCUUCAGACUGCUUUAAUUUUGUUAUAUUUCUUAUGAAUGAGUGUUAUUUCUCUGCUGACACAGCUUAUCGCUUUUAAGUGAUUUUAAAAUUAAAAAUGACAAAUAAAAAUAUUUUCUUUUAA